GGUAGGGGAGCGUUCCUAUUGGGUAGAAGCCGUACUGUGAAGAGCGGUGGACUGAUAGGAAGUGAGAAUGCUGGCAUAAGUAAACGAUAAGGCAGGUGAGAAUCCUGCCCGCCGAAAACCUAAGGAUUCCUGGGGAAGGCUCGUCCACCCAGGGUAAGCCGGGACCUAACCCGAGGCCGGAAGGCGUAGGGGAUGGAUAACUGGUUGAGAUUCCAGUGCCACCAGUCAUUCGCUUGAGCGAAGGGGUGACGCAGAAGGAUAGGUGAAGCGUCCGGCAGGAAGCGGACGUCCAAGCACGUAGGAGUCAGGGUAGGCAAAUCCGCCCUGUUUAACUCCAAGGUGUUAAGGGGAGGGAAGCGUAGUACCGAAGUCACUGAUUCCAGGCUGCCAAGAAAAGCCUCUAGUGAGAAUGCUGGUGCCCGUACCGCAAACCGACACAGGUAGGUGAGGAGAGAAUCCUAAGGCGCGCGAGAGAACCCUCGUUAAGGAACUCGGCAAAAUGACCCCGUAACUUCGGGAGAAGGGGUGCUCUGUUAGCGUAAAUAUAUAAACAUGUAUAAGCGCGAGAGAGCCGCAGUGAUCAGGCCCAGGCGACUGUUUAUCAAAAACAUAGGUCUCUGCUAAAUCGCAAGAUGAAGUAUAGAGGCUGACGCCUGCCCGGUGCUGGAAGGUUAAGGGAAAGGGUUAGCGCAAGCGAAGCUCUGAACUGAAGCCCCAGUGAACGGCGGCCGUAACUAUAACGGUCCUAAGGUAGCGAAAUUCCUUGUCUGGUAAGUUCAGACCCGCACGAAAGGCGUAACGAUCUGGGCACUGUCUCGACGAGGGGCUCGGUGAAAUUGUAAUACCGGUGAAGAUGCCGGUUACCUGCGAUAGGACAGAAAGACCCCGUGGAGCUUUACUGCAACCUGAUAUUGGGUUUUGGUAGUUCAUGUACAGCAUAGGUGGGAGGCAUAGAAAGCAGGUCGCCAGGCUUGCUGGAGCCGCAAGUGGGAUACCACUCUUGAAUUGCUGGGAUUCUAACCUAGUACCGUAAUCCGGUACAGGGACAUUGUCAGGUGGACAGUUUGACUGGGGCGGUCGCCUCCUAAAGAGUAACGGAGGCGCCCAAAGGUUCCCUCAGCGCGGAUGGAAACCGCGCGCAGAGUGUAAAGGCAGAAGGGAGCUUGACUGCGAGAGAGACAUUUCGAGCAGGGACGAAAGUCGGGCUUAGUGAUCCGGCGGUACCGCGUGGAAGGGCCGUCGCUCAUCGGAUAAAAGCUACCCCGGGGAUAACAGGCUUAUCUCCCCCAAGAGUUCACAUCGACGGGGAGGUUUGGCACCUCGAUGUCGGCUC
This 1333-nucleotide ribosomal RNA is filed under the name anaerobic digester metagenome. Its description in RNAcentral is "bacterial LSU rRNA". It matches the Rfam family "Bacterial large subunit ribosomal RNA", at positions 1227 to 2538 of the family's 2925-position model. The record is from RNAcentral.